RNAcentral lists this ribosomal RNA (586 nucleotides) under uncultured bacterium. RNAcentral describes it as "bacterial SSU rRNA". It matches the Rfam family "Bacterial small subunit ribosomal RNA", at positions 338 to 916 of the family's 1533-position model. The record is from RNAcentral.
CCUACGGGAGGCAGCAGUGGGGAAUCUUCCGCAAUGGACGAAAGUCUGACGGAGCAACACCGCGUGAGAGAAGAAGGUUUUCGGAUUGUAAAUCUCUGUCUUCUGGGAAGAAUGGCUUCCAUGUAAAUAAUGUGGGAGCAUGACGGUACUAGAGGAGGAAGCCACGGCUAACUACGUGCCAGCAGCCGCGGUAAUACGUAGGUGGCAAGCGUUGUCCGGAAUUAUUGGGCGUAAAGCGCGCGCAGGCGGGAAUGUAAGUCUGUCUUAAAAGUGCGGUGCUCAACGCCGUGAUGGGACAGAAACUAUAUUUCUUGAGUGCAGGAGAGGACAGUGGAAUUCCCAGUGUAGCGGUGAAAUGCGUAGAUAUUGGGAGGAACACCAGUGGCGAAGGCGACUGUCUGGACUGUGUCUGACGCUGAGGCGCGAAAGCCAGGGUAGUGAACGGGAUUAGAUACCCCGGUAAUCCUGGCCGUAAACGAUGGGUACUAGGUGUUGGGGGUAUCGACCCCUCCAGUGCCGGAGUUAACGCAAUAAGUACCCCGCCUGGGGAGUACGGCCGCAAGGAGAAACUCAAAGGAAUUGACGG